AAGAAGAUAAUUGUAAACUGACUAUUAUUGAAUCAAUGGAUUGAAUGAAUGAUUUACAUAAGAUAAUGACCUUAUACAAGGAACCAACUAAAUGGAAAUCCUUGCUAACGAAAGUAAAAUAGAAAACUGAAAAAGACUCAUCUAACUAUAAUAAGUGAGCUUUAUAAUAUACAACUCAAUAACCCAAUACAAUGAGAAACCUAUAUACAUGUAAUACCCUCCCUCAAGCUGGAGAGUGUAUAUUUUGCACUCCCAACUUGAACCGUAAAUAAAGAAAAACAGUUGGCUCCAAUGCUUUUGUAAACAAAUCAGCUACUUGCUCUUUGGUGGAAAUGGGCAGUAAUGUGAAGAGGUUGUUCUUUAAUCGUUCACGAGUAACAUGGUUGAUAAAUGCCAAACAUAUCUAAAAAUCAUACACUUUUAUGACACUUAUCGUAAGCAUAAUUGAGAAAAACCAACUUAAAACAAUACUUUUUGUAUAAAAUAUCACAAUUUGGUAUAUUUGUGUUUGUAUUGCCUUUUUAUGUAUUUUGUAGGAAAUAAAAUGAAGACAAGAAGAGAAAAGAUUCAUGGUCAAAAAGCAACAAA
Molecule: long non-coding RNA, 588 nt
Filed under: Lupinus angustifolius (narrow-leaved blue lupine)
Lineage: Eukaryota; Viridiplantae; Streptophyta; Magnoliopsida; Fabales; Fabaceae
Description: long non-coding RNA (LANG_LNC003230)
Source: RNAcentral